This is a long non-coding RNA of Symphalangus syndactylus (siamang), 751 nucleotides long. RefSeq lists it as uncharacterized. The record is from RefSeq and is a predicted model, not a curated record. NCBI's taxonomy places the organism in Eukaryota, Metazoa, Chordata, Mammalia, Primates, Hylobatidae.
UUAUCUCUCUUUCUCUCUCUUUGUCUCUCUCUCUGUCUCUCUUGCUGUCUCUUUCUUUGUCUCUCUCUCUCUCUCUCUGUCUCUCUCUCUCUCUUUAUCUCUCUCUCUCUGCUUUACUCUGGCUCUUUCUGUCCCCACCUGUCUGUCUCCCUCACAUGUGUUUUGGGUCCCAGAAGGCAAGCCUCUUUAGAGGAUGGCUUAGCCUGUAUCGAUUCAACCCAGGACAUCCAUCCUCCUGCAUGGGACAUCUGCAACGCUGCCUGACAGAAAUGUGUUAUCUGCACCUUCUCCAGCCGUGGUUCCCUGGGUCUGUUUCUGCUGAGGAAAACAAACGGUCAUUCCAGGUGGCCCUUGGGUAUUUCUAGAGCCCUUGGCCGAACACCGCCCGCAAACCAUCUCAAGCUCUACAGGACAUCAAACUUCCUGGUCCUCAUGCCUUUAGCCUCAGACCGAAUGACACCACCAGCUUUCCUGGUUCUUUGGCGUAUAGACAGCAUGUCGUGGGAAUUCUCAGCCUCCAGAACUGUAAAGCCUGCAUGUCAAGGAACUGAGGGGUGGCCUCUAGCCAAGUCAGCAAGGAACUGAACUGCCAACAAGGCCAUGAAGUCAACAGAACCUUGAGAUGGCCAGAAAGCUGCUGGCCCCUUGAUUGCAGCCCUGAGAGAGACCCUGAAGCUGGAGACCCGGCUGGGCUGUGCUCAGAUCCCUGAUUCAUGGAAAUCGCAAGAUAAUAAACGUGUGUUGUUUGAAA